This 305-nucleotide ribosomal RNA is filed under the name uncultured bacterium. RNAcentral describes it as "bacterial SSU rRNA". It matches the Rfam family "Bacterial small subunit ribosomal RNA", at positions 333 to 636 of the family's 1533-position model. The record is from RNAcentral.
UCAGUCAUACGGGGGGCAGCAGUGAGGAAUAUUGGUCAAUGGUCGGGAGACUGAACCAGCCAAGCCGCGUGAGGGAGGAAGGUACAGAGUAUCGUAAACCUCUUUUGUCAGGGAACAAAGACUGGGACGCGUCCCCGGAUGAGUGUACCUGAAGAAAAAGCAUCGGCUAACUCCGUGCCAGCAGCCGCGGUAAUACGGAGGAUGCGAGCGUUAUCCGGAUUUAUUGGGUUUAAAGGGUGCGCAGGCGGUCUGUUAAGUCAGCGGUCAAAGCCCGGGGCUCAACCCCGGCCCGCCGUUGAAACUGG